This 103-nucleotide microRNA precursor is filed under the name Marmota monax (woodchuck). Lineage: Eukaryota; Metazoa; Chordata; Mammalia; Rodentia; Sciuridae. The record is from RNAcentral.
AGUGGGAUAAUUGGGUCAAAUUGUUGAUUCUUUCUUAGCUUUUUGAGGAAUCUCCAUACUGCUUUCCAGAGUGAUUGCACCAAUGUGUACUCCAACCAGCAAU